This 478-nucleotide ribosomal RNA is filed under the name uncultured bacterium. RNAcentral's name for it is "partial 16S ribosomal RNA". It matches the Rfam family "Bacterial small subunit ribosomal RNA", at positions 28 to 523 of the family's 1533-position model. The record is from RNAcentral.
GACGAACGCUGGCGGCGUGCUUAACACAUGCAAGUCGAACGGUAAGGCCCUUCGGGGUACACGAGUGGCGAACGGGUGAGUAACACGUUGGUGAUCUGCCCUGCACUUCGGGAUAAGCCUGGGAAACUGGGUCUAAUACCGGAUAGGACCACUGCCUGCAUGGGUGGUGGUGGAAAGCUUUUGCGGUGUGGGAUGGGCCCGCGGCCUAUCGGCUUGUUGGUGGGGUGAUGGCCUACCAAGGCGACGACGGGUAGUCGGCCUGAGAGGGUGACCGGCCACACUGGGACUGAGAUACGGCCCAGACUCCUACGGGAGGCAGCAGUGGGGAAUAUUGCACAAUGGGCGCAAGCCUGAUGCAGCGACGCCGCGUGAGGGAUGACGGCCUUCGGGUUGUAAACCUCUUUCAGCACCGACGAAGCGCAAGUGACGGUAGGUGCAGAAGAAGGACCGGCCAACUACGUGCCAGCAGCCGCCGUAA